AGUGAACGCUGGCGGUAGGCCUAACACAUGCAAGUCGAACGGCAGCACAGUAAGAGCUUGCUCUUACGGGUGGCGAGUGGCGGACGGGUGAGGAAUACAUCGGAAUCUACUUUUUCGUGGGGGAUCACGUAGGGAAACUUACGCUAAUACCGCAUACGACCUACGGGUGAAAGCAGGGGAUCUUCGGACCUUGCGCGAUUGAAUGCGCCGAUGUCGGAUUAGCUAGUUGGCGGGGUAAAGGCCCACCAAGGCGACGAUCCGUAGCUGGUCUGAGAGGAUGAUCAGCCACACGGGAACUGAGACACGGUCCAGACUCCUACGGGAGGCAGCAGUGGGGAAUAUUGGACAAUGGGCGCAAGCCUGAUCCAGCCAUACCGCGUGGGUGAAGAAGGCCUUCGGGUUGUAAAGCCCUUUUGUUGGGAAAGAAAAGCAGCAGGUUAAUACCCCGCUGUUCUGACGGUACCCAAAGAAUAAGCACCGGCUAACUUCGUG
This 492-nucleotide ribosomal RNA is filed under the name uncultured bacterium. RNAcentral's name for it is "partial 16S ribosomal RNA". It matches the Rfam family "Bacterial small subunit ribosomal RNA", at positions 29 to 507 of the family's 1533-position model. The record is from RNAcentral.